This 243-nucleotide ribosomal RNA is filed under the name uncultured Actinomycetales bacterium. RNAcentral's name for it is "partial 16S ribosomal RNA". It matches the Rfam family "Bacterial small subunit ribosomal RNA", at positions 524 to 766 of the family's 1533-position model. Lineage: Bacteria; Bacillati; Actinomycetota; Actinomycetes; Actinomycetales. The record is from RNAcentral.
UACGUAGGGUGCAAGCGUUGUCCGGAAUUACUGGGCGUAAAGAGCUCGUAGGUGGUUUGUCACGUCGUCUGUGAAAUUCCACAGCUUAACUGUGGGCGUGCAGGCGAUACGGGCUGACUUGAGUACUGUAGGGGUAACUGGAAUUCCUGGUGUAGCGGUGAAAUGCGCAGAUAUCAGGAGGAACACCGAUGGCGAAGGCAGGUUACUGGGCAGUUACUGACGCUGAGGAGCGAAAGCAUGGGU